This 4077-nucleotide long non-coding RNA is filed under the name Eucalyptus grandis. RNAcentral describes it as "long non-coding RNA (EGRA_LNC002930)". Lineage: Eukaryota; Viridiplantae; Streptophyta; Magnoliopsida; Myrtales; Myrtaceae. The record is from RNAcentral.
GGGCCCACGUGCAUUCUCUAAGGCGACCUCUUCGCCAAGGUGGUACAUCAAGCCACCGAGCCACGUGUCCUUUUUACGAUGCCCGGGCCCACGUGCAUUCUCUAAGGUACUCGCUUACCAAAGUGACGCAUCAGAUCACCGAGCCACGUGCCCUUUUAGAUGCCAUUCCGAAUACUGGACCCACGUGCAUUCUCUAAGGUACUCGCUUACCAAAGUGACGCAUCAGAUCACCGAGCCACGUGUCCUUUUAGAUGCCUGGGCCCACGUGCAUUCUCUAAGGUACUCGCUUACCAAAGUGACGCAUCAGAUCACCGAGCCACGUGCCCUUUUAGAUGCCAAACUCUGUCACCGAGCCACGUGCAUUCUCCAGGACGACAUACCGAGUCUCCGAGCCACGUGCAUUCUCUCAGGCGACCUCUUCGCCAAGGUGACAUAUUCAACCACUGAACUCACGUGCAUUUUCCAGGUGAAAUUCCAAUUCACCGAGCCCACGUGUCCUCUUUCAAGCGGUUACCAAUCUUCUUUCAAUACCGACAACCAAUGCCCAACGAUUUCUCAAUCAAAUAAUUAAAUCAACUCAACAAAACAUUAUAAAUGCUGAAUAACAUACUUGGCCAAUCACCCAUCAAUAAUUCAAUCUCAAUCGAUUCCAAUCAAUUUAGGGUAAAUCCCUAAAAUAUCACAAUUUAUUCAAUUCCAUACAACGUAGAGCUCAAAUAAAUAAACGGACUGCGCCACGACAAUCAGCACGAGAUUUCGGUCGUCGGCCAUCAACAUCUUAAUUUUUGAAAAAUAAUUAAUUUCGAAAAAUUAAAUAAUUAAUAUAAAAAAAAUUCAAUUUAGCUCAAAAUAAAGCCCGAUUAAAUAAACGGACUUCACCACGGUCAUCAGCAUAAUAUUCCGGUCCCGGGCCAUCUCAGUUGAAUUUUCGGAAAAUAAAUAAUUAUUUAAUUUAAUUCCGAAAAUUAAUAAUUAAAUACUAAAAAUAUCCACUUAGGCCCGAAAAGCCUAAUUGGAGCCCACUAAGGGUUGGGAAAAUUCCCGAAGCACUUCCAAUAAUUAGUAGACCACGUCUACUUGCUAAUUGCGCAAUCAAUUUAUCUAAAUCGCAUCACAAUUCACUAAUAAUUGCUAAUUUAUUCUAAUCUAACAACCUAAACAUAAUUAAUUAAAUCUAAACCAAACUUAAGCAUAAUUAGCCAACUAAUCCUGGAUUAGUGAGAUUACUCACCAAUCGCAUCACAAAUCGGAUCAAUCCGACGGCGGCGACGCGAGGAACGAUUGUUCCCAAAGCACGGCUCGGGUUCGGGGCCCGGAAACGGCCCAAAACGGCCCAAGAGCCGGCUGAAAACCCACUUCGUGGGUUGCUGGAUUAGCUGCGAAACAGAGGAAAACAGAGAUGGUUAGAGGCGGAGAGGGGUGGGGAAAGCAAGAGGCGGUCCGGUGAGGCCACACGGUGGCUCCGGCGGCUUGCUCGGCCACUCACGGUGGCUGGACGAGACGGAACAGUGGCUGGUUCGUGCGGAGGGAGGAGCGGCCGCGAGCGACGGACGGCGGGACGGUGGCGGCGCACAGGCGCGGCGCGGGUGCGGGCGGCGGUGCGGCGGCGGGACAACGACGGUGCUGCAACUUCUGGUCUUCUUCCGCUUCUGGUUUCCGCGAAGAAGAAAGAAGAAAGAAGGAGAAGAAAGGAGCCGGUUUUGUCGUGCAGGGGAAGAAAGAAGAGAGAGAGAGAGAAGGGAUAAGCAUUGACCGGUCAAAGAAAGAGAGAGGGAGGGAAUGGGCGGUGGGGGCAAUUCGCACGAGGGGGAGGGGAGAGGAGAGAGGAGAGAGAAAGAAAAGAGAAGGGAGAGAGAGAGAAAAUAAAGAAAAAUAAACAACAAUACUUUUCUUAUUUGAUUUUCUUUUCUCUUUCCCAUUCUAAUUUCUUUCGGGCUUCAAUUUUCUUCCGACAAUUUCUUUAAUGAAAUUUCGGACUCGGCAAUAAAUUGAUUGACGAUGAGACGGUCCCAAAAAUGAAUUGUGACACUCUCGAAUAUUCGAUUCCCGAAACCAAAUCAAAUUCCAUGGUUAAAAUCGACCGGACGUGAUUUUAGUCCAAUCCAACCAAUUAGGUAGCUUUUAGGGAUUUUACCAUGGAUAUAUCCCUUAACAGCUUCACCCAAUAGGUUAGUUAACUCGUGAGUGAUCAGCUCAGAGAAAAAGGACCAUAGACACGUCGACGAAAUGCACAUUUCAUUUUAUCGAAACGGGGUCGAAUUUCAGGAUGUCACAAGCCUACUUGCCCUUUCUGUCGCGAGCAUCCAGAGUCCUCCGAGCACCUAUUUAUCCUGUGCCAGUGGAUAAACGCAAUAUGGCUGAACUUCAGUGAUCAAAUCAGCACAUCCCCGACAUCAGUUACAAGAAUAGAUCAGUGGGUAUGCAACUACCUCUUCUCCGGCAUCUCAGUAAGUCAAAAGGCGACCUUCGCGACCACUCUGUGGUACAUAUGGAAAGCACGAAACGGCCCGAUCUUUCAAGGACGGAAAACAUAACAAAACAAGAUCAUCAGUGAAGCUCGCCUAGCUCAACAACUAUUCGAGAAGUGGCACCCAUAAAGGACAACGCUUACCUCGGAACGAUACUCAUGGGUACCUCCAGAUCCGGGCGCGUGGAAGAUCAACGUGGAUUGCUCAUGGCAGGAGAGCAGAUCGGAGGGAUCCAUCGCCGGCAUUUGUAGAGGAGCUGAUGGGGUGUGAACCGCUGGUUUUGAGCAGAAAAUCCGAGCUCAAUCAGCUCACAUGGCCGAAACCCUAGCUAUCCGGCAUUCGCUCGAGUGGUUGAAGGAGAAGAGAGCUGUUCUGACAAAACCACUUUCACCCGCACGAACUGAAGCCAUCUUCUACGUAUCUAGCGACUGCUUCUUGGCUGUUUAGUCGAUUCUGGGCCGCACAGAAACUCCAUGGGCCUCGCGGCCCUUUGUCCUGGAUUGCCGACAACUGCUGGGCCAAAUGAAGGAUGUCCUCUUGCAAUUUGAACCGCGCGAGUCCAACCGAGCCGCGGACUGGAUCGCAAAAUCACACGGCUCCGGUUCCUUGCCGGGUAAUUGGGUUACUAAUCCCCCGCACGAACUCUUUCUUAUCUUAUGUGUUGAUUUUCCUAAUAUUUGUAUUCCACCUACUUAGUCUCAAUCAAAGCGUUUUCACUUCGACCAAAAAAAAAAAAUUAAAAAAUUAGUUUGUGGUAAAUUUGUCAUAAAUGCAAGAAUUUAAUAUUAUUGAUUAUCAAAAUAUUAGUUGGCGUAAAAAUUUACUGGUUAGGAUUUUUUGUGGUACUAACUAUUCUUUCUUAAAAUAAUCUUUUUGGUCCUAAAACUGCAAAUUUGGUUGUUAAAUUAGCUCUUACUACUGGAGGUUGGACUAUUCUUUUUUUCUUUUAUGUGAUUGAACUACUCACGGUGGUGCUUUUGGCACCAACAGGGAGCCCUUGGUAACGGAUAAAUUGCUUUGUACUUUUUGCAACAAAUUUGUCUCUCUUUUUUCUUUUUCUUUUUAAGGCAAAGCUUAUAAGUUAGAACUUGAGCCCGUAAUGCCGAGGAUUUGAGACACCUUUCAAAUAUUUUUUUGUAAAGCCAAAGGAUUAAAACGGAUAUUGGUGAUACUUUAAUAAAAAAUAAUGAAUUUCGGUCAUUUUUUUUAUAGUCUUUGAAGUGUCUGUAUGGUAUGGAAUUUUGUGUAGAAAAUACUAUAAAAUGCACAAAAGGACAACCUUUUUUUUUUUUUGGCUGGUGGAACAAUCCCCGGAGAGAUCAUCGAGCCACGUGCAUUCUCUAAGGUACUCGCUUACCAAAGUGACGCAUCAGAUCACCGAGCCACGUGUCCUUUUAGAUGCCUGGGCCCACGUGCAUUCUCUAAGGUACUCGCUUACCAAAGUGACGCAUCAGAUCACCGAGCCACGUGCCCUUUUAGAUGCCAAACUCUGUCACCGAGCCACGUGCAUUCUCCAGGACGACAUACCGAGUCUCCGAGCCACGUGCAUUCUCUCAGGCGACCUCUUCGCCAAGGUGACAUAUUCAACCACUGAACUCACGUGCAUUUU